This 484-nucleotide ribosomal RNA is filed under the name uncultured bacterium. RNAcentral's name for it is "partial 16S ribosomal RNA". It matches the Rfam family "Bacterial small subunit ribosomal RNA", at positions 30 to 507 of the family's 1533-position model. The record is from RNAcentral.
AUUGAACGCUGGCGGAAUGCUUUACACAUGCAAGUCGAACGGCAGCACGGGGUCAUCCCUGGUUGCGAGUUGCGAACGGGUGAGUAAUACAUCUGAACGUGCCCGGUCGUGGGGGAUAACGUAUCGACAUUUACGCUUAUACCGCAUACGAUCUGAGGAUGAAAUCGUGGGACCUUCGUGCCUCGCGCGAUCUGAGCUUCCGAUGUCAGAUUAGGUAGUUGGUGGGGUAAAGGCCUACCAAGCCGACGAUCUGUAGCUUGUCUGAGAGGACGACCAGCCACACUGGGAAUGAGAAACGGACCAGACUCCUACGGGAGGAAGCAGAGGGGAAUUUGGGACAAUGGGCGCAAGACUGAUCAAGCCAUACCGCGUGCAGGACGAAGGACUUCGGGUUGUAAACUGCUUUUGUACGGAACGAAAAGGCUCUGGCUAAUACAUGGGGCUCAUGACGGUACCGUAAGAAUAAGCACCGGCUAACUACGUG